CGGCGGCGGGCGGCGGGAGUGCGGGCGCGCGCGCUCGCGUCAGUGCGGUAGCGGCGAUGGAGCGCGGGGCGCGGGCGCUGCUGGCGGCCGCCUGGAGGAGCCUGUGGGAGCGCGGGCCCUGCCAUGGCGGCAGCGCGGUACGGGCCGCCCGGUGCGGCGGGGACGGGAAGGGGCUGGCCGGCGGCAGAGCCGGGAGGAUCCAAGGCUCCAGGCCCUUCUGUGUGAGCGCAGCUGCCAGAGCCAUUUUGGGCAGGUGGGGAGGUGACAAGGGGAAGGAGAAGAUCACCUUGAAGGACGUGGCCGAGCUGCUCCGGAAGAAGGAGUGUCGGCGUGUGGUGGUGAUGGCCGGCGCCGGGAUCAGCACGCCCAGUGGCAUCCCGGACUUCAGGUCCCCUGGGAGCGGCCUGUACAGCAACCUGGAGCAGUACGACAUCCCCUACCCCGAGGCCAUCUUUGAGCUGGGGUAUUUCUUCGUCAACCCCAAGCCCUUCUUCACCCUGGCCAAGGAGCUCUAUCCCGGCAACUACCGCCCCAAUUCCGCCCACUAUUUCCUCCGGCUGCUGCACGACAAGGGGCUGCUCCUGCGCCUCUACACCCAGAACAUCGACGGGCUGGAGAGAGUGGCUGGGAUCCCUCCUGACAGGCUGGUGGAAGCCCAUGGCACCUUUGCCACUGCCACCUGUACGGUGUGUCAGAGGAACUUCCCCGGAGAGGACUUCAGGGGGAUCAGGGUCCCUGUGACAGGCAGUUUUGGGGUCUCUCCCUUCAGGGAGAUGUCAUGGGGGACAGGAUCCCUCGCUGCCCUGUGUGCACCGGAGUUGUCAAGCCUGACAUCGUGUUCUUUGGCGAGCAGCUCCCACAGCGCUUCCUCCUGCACCUCACAGACUUCCCCAUGGCAGACCUGCUCUUCGUCAUUGGGACAUCCCUGGAGGUCUGGCAGUGGAGCCCUUUGCCAGCCUGGCCGGGGCCGUGCGCAGCUCCGUGCCGCGGGUGCUCAUCAACCGGGAGCUGGUGGGCCCCUUCGCGUGGCAGCAGCGCCACAACGACGUGGCCCAGCUCGGGGACGUGGUCGGCGGUGUUGAGAAGCUGGUGGAGCUGCUGGGCUGGAACGAGGAGAUGCAAACGCUGAUCCAGAAGGAGAAAGAGAAGCUGGAUGCCAAGGACAAGUAGGAGGGUGCUUCUGUCACCCCUCAGCACAUCACUUGAGGACAUCCUGCCAUGAGUGUCACCAGCAAGUGUCCGAGGGCCUGGGGACUCGUGCCAGCACAUCCUACGAGCUCUGGGGCUGUAGUUGGCUGUUUGGAUCUUUCUCCUUUCAAGCCAUCCAUGCCACAGCCCCUCAGAGGCACUGGUUCCACGGAGCAGGAGCUGGAAUGCCAUGAAGGUCAGGGCAGGACAGCCUGGAGAGUGUUUUCCAACUCCCACUGGGCUGAGCAUCCAGUUCCUGUCACAGCUCCUCCCCAGCCACUGUUCCCUUGGCUGUGAUCCUCAGCUGCUGCAGGCUGUGUUUAGUCUUCCAUAAAAUCUCUGCUAAUCAGGGGACAAGCCAGGGCUGGGGGGGCUGCCCCCCAUUCCCAUUCCAGCUCAAGCUGCUGGGGAAAUUUUGAAUCACUGGAGUGUUAAUUAUUUAAUAAUAAAGAGACAAUUUGUUUCUGGAUGUCA
Haemorhous mexicanus (house finch) is the source of this 1662-nucleotide RNA transcript. It is a transcript of the gene named sirtuin 3, with no coding region annotated. Lineage: Eukaryota; Metazoa; Chordata; Aves; Passeriformes; Fringillidae. The transcript has 8 exons. The record is from RefSeq and is a predicted model, not a curated record.